CACGGGAGUAGCAAUACAACGUGGUGGCGGCCGGCGCACGGGUGAGUAACGCGUAUGCAACCUACCUAUCAGGAGGGGAAUAACCCGGCGAAAGUCGGACUAAUACCGCAUAAAACAGGGGCACCGCAUGGUGACAUUUGUUAAAGAAAUUCGCUGAUAGAUGGGCAUGCGUUCCAUUAGGUAGUUGGUGAGGUAACGGCUCACCAAGCCGACGAUGGAUAGGGGAACUGAGAGGUUGGUCCCCCACACUGGUACUGAGACACGGACCAGACUCCUACGGGAGGCAGCAGUGAGGAAUAUUGGUCAAUGGGCGAGAGCCUGAACCAGCCAAGUCGCGUGAAGGAAGAAGGAUCUAUGGUUCGUAAACUUCUUUUGCAGGGGAAUAAAGUGCAGGACGUGUCCUGUUUUGUAUGUACCCUGAGAAUAAGGAUCGGCCAACUCCGUGCCAGCCGCCGC
RNAcentral lists this ribosomal RNA (456 nucleotides) under uncultured bacterium. RNAcentral's name for it is "bacterial SSU rRNA". It matches the Rfam family "Bacterial small subunit ribosomal RNA", at positions 68 to 518 of the family's 1533-position model. The record is from RNAcentral.